GAAAGUCCUAAGUGGAAGCUUGUAUUGAAGAAGCUUGUUUUGCCUUGAAUGGGUGCCUCCUUAUAUAAAAGUGACCAGGGGCAGGUUUGUAAUUUUGUAAAUUUUUGAACAGUGUCUGCUACUUAACUUUUUCACAUGUAAACAGUACUUGAACAGUGUCUUGAACAGUUCUUCCUAUCGGGUGAAUAGUGCUUGAACAGUUCUUUCAUGUUGUUUUCACAUGUGAACAGUGAAAGUGAACAGUGACAAGUGAACAUUGUCCUGUCGGGUUUUGAAAUAAAAUAAAAAUAAAAAAGCAGAAAAGUAAAGGAAUAAUACAAAAGUAGAAAUAAAAGCAAAAAUAAAAGAAAAGAAAAUGGAUGAUUUGUUACCACUAUAAAUUUCUUUUGUCAGUCUUAAAUUUUUUUUUUUAAGUGGAGUGGAGCUGGGACCACCCCUUCAUCCGUCCAUCAUGUUUUGUAGGUUAUGCCAUGUUUCCUCAUCUUCACUCAUUUCAUCUUCUGACGAGACAGACAGUAAGUCAUAAUAGCUUUCAUAUUGAAUCAUGUAUUUUUCAUACUGUGUUUGCAUCCCUCGCUUUAAAGCAGCCUGG
RNAcentral lists this unclassified non-coding RNA (592 nucleotides) under Hevea brasiliensis (rubber tree). Lineage: Eukaryota; Viridiplantae; Streptophyta; Magnoliopsida; Malpighiales; Euphorbiaceae. The record is from RNAcentral.